UUCCUGGGUCUCGUACUCACCGCCCGUCAAGUCAUGGAAGCUAGGGGCACCCGACAACUCCAAAUCAAUACUGGGGGCUAAGGUGAAACUAGUGACUGGGACU
Molecule: ribosomal RNA, 103 nt
Filed under: uncultured bacterium
Lineage: Bacteria
Description: partial 16S ribosomal RNA
Source: RNAcentral